Molecule: long non-coding RNA, 543 nt
Organism: Hemicordylus capensis (graceful crag lizard)
Lineage: Eukaryota; Metazoa; Chordata; Lepidosauria; Squamata; Cordylidae
Exons: 2
Source: RefSeq, a predicted model, not a curated record
AACCAAGAAAAGCUCCAAAAAAACCCAACAGCCUGUUUGAAUGUUCAGACCAAGCACCCCUUCCCACGCCACAGCUGACUAGCACUGAGAGAGCCAUUCACUAAGAAUUCCAUCUUUAACCAUCUGCUUUUUGGGCACCAACACUGCUCCUCCCACAAUAGUGAUGAUUGUGCAGGCAGAUUCCUGAAUAAGUGCCUCCCCUUCCUAUGGCUUGAUUAGGAAGACUCAGUGUAACAAAGGAAGCAACACAACCAUAUCAUAUUAUCUGAUGUACGUUGGAUACUCAUGCUUUGAAAACUACUAUUAACUCAGAAAGGGUACAAAAUCAAUGCUUAUAAGCCAGCAAGUCUGCUGCACUUUAGAAAGAUAAAUGGAUGUCAGCUGCAGAAAGGAAAGCAGAGAAGAAAACAUUAAAGGAACAAGGAGGAAAUGUUUUGUAUGGCUUUUAGUAGGAACAUCCUACUAAUUUGAAGAUGGCCAGAGAUUUCUUUAUUUAUGUAUAUCCAACAAGGAUUUAAAACAAUAAAUAGCCAAACCAGUGAA